GGACGUUUCAAGCAAGUUUUGUAACCUGUGACAACAUUUAUAUUUUGAGUGGCAUAAAUGUUUUUCUUGUGCCAUUAGAUUACUGGAAUGAAUCACACAACACAGCUAAAUAAGCAGCAGGACAAGCUUGUAAUUGGUUGUAGCCAUUUUAGAAAUCAGGCUUACUCCAAGCACCUUUACCACUUCAGUAAUUUUAAGUGCUCACAGUGCUUGGAG
This is a non-coding RNA of Pelobates cultripes (western spadefoot toad), 216 nucleotides long. NCBI's taxonomy places the organism in Eukaryota, Metazoa, Chordata, Amphibia, Anura, Pelobatidae. The record is from the annotation of a GenBank genome assembly.